AAAAGGAGGGACUGGUUAGACUUGUGGAUAUACUACAAUAAAAACGGUCUAUAGCGACACUUUUAAAUGUCGGUAUAGGUCAAAAAAAAGUGCUGCUAGCUAAAUUACCGACACUUUUAAAAAGUGUUGCUAUAUGUGGGGUCGCUAGAUAUAUAGCGACAGUUAAAGAGUAUCGCUAUAACCUAAAAAAGUGCUGCUAAUUUAGUAACACUUAUUUAAGCAUCUAGCAACCGUCGGAACUCUACCUCGUUGGCUGCGGUGGCUGAGGAGGACGAGAUGAAAGGACCCUUCGUCUAGAAUUUCAGUGGAUUAAGUGAGGGGAGAAUGGGAGAUAGUAAUCGAUUUUUCUUUUUUCUUUUUCCUUUCAGUUUGGAAUCGGGCCAAAUGGGUUAGGUUGGGUGGGUUGAGUUAGUAACCUUUUAUUUUUUUAUUGGAUUCGACUUUUUAUUAAGGCAUUAGUAGAUGUUUUUUUAAAUUUUGACAUAAAUGAGACACUUAGAUAAAAGUGUCCCAAACAUGUGUCUCUGUAAGAAUUUUAUAGAAAGGAUUAAAUUACAUAUGUAUGAUAUAAUUUAGAGCAACG
Molecule: long non-coding RNA, 583 nt
Filed under: Ananas comosus (pineapple)
Lineage: Eukaryota; Viridiplantae; Streptophyta; Magnoliopsida; Poales; Bromeliaceae
Description: long non-coding RNA (ACOM_LNC021642)
Source: RNAcentral